Molecule: long non-coding RNA, 596 nt
Filed under: Pan troglodytes (chimpanzee)
Lineage: Eukaryota; Metazoa; Chordata; Mammalia; Primates; Hominidae
Description: lincRNA
Source: RNAcentral
CACUCAGCUUUCUGAAAUGGUGUCCCACCGCAAGGACUGGAGAAGGUCUUCUGUCAGCCUAACAAGCAUAGCAAGAAGAUAUAGCCCCACAACCACUUUAUGCACAAAGUUAGAAGCAUAAAAUCUCAUGGAAAGAGACCGAUUAUCCACAGAAGAGGUUGUCUUGCCAUUUCUCUCAUGUUAGAGGUAAACCUCAGGUUCUCCUCCUGCCUUUUGCUAAGUAUAUGUCUUGAUGACAAGCCUUCUGCUGAUGAGCUGUGUUUCUGGACCGAUCAUGGUAGAAGUCAAUUAACGUGUCCCUCACUUGGGGUUUCUCAAGGUCAUCUAUGAACUGACUCUGUCUCAAAAAAAAAAAAGAAAAAAAAGAAAAGAAAGAACGAAAAAAAAAAACUAGGACAUGGCUAACAGGAAUGGGGACAAAGAAUCUGCACUGAUGAGGAAACUGAAACAGAAAAUCCAGAGUAAAUUCCACCAGGCCACACAGCAAGGUCUGAUAGAGCCAGGAGAGACUUUAUGAAAUCCAGACUCUCACACUAAUGCUCUAUCAGCUAGACCUCCAUGUGAGUCUCCCCAAUGUAGGUAGGAAGUGCUUUCCC